UUUUUAAACUCAAACACCCUCCCCAUCCCAUAAUGUGUGGAUACUGUUAGUCACAUCCAGAGGACAGCUUUGGCCCAUCAUAGAACUUUAUCCUUAGGGCUUGAAACUCAUCUAUGUCAAAAUUGGUCAAAUGAGGAACCUAUAAGUCUUGCACAAGACUAAUAUCUUUUACUCUACAACUCUCCAUUUAUGAGUUAAUCUGCAUACACAAUUACAAAGUCACUUCCAAAGUCACUUGACUCGGCAAUGGAAUUUAUAUAGAUUAUGAGGCUGUGACUAUACAGAUCCUGUUUCAUUUGUUUAUUUCUACAGCUGAUAGGCAAAGUGUUUCUGCAGGUCCCAGUUGAAAUCAAAGGUGUUGCUGGAGACUCUGUCAUCUUGCCAUGCUCUUAUAAAGAAAGAGUGCUGAAGACAGAGGAA
Molecule: long non-coding RNA, 420 nt
Organism: Myxocyprinus asiaticus (Chinese sucker)
Lineage: Eukaryota; Metazoa; Chordata; Actinopteri; Cypriniformes; Catostomidae
Exons: 3
Source: RefSeq, a predicted model, not a curated record